CCUACGGGAGGCUGCAGUGGGGAAUAGUGGGCAAUGGGCGCAAGCCUGACCCAGCAACGCCGCGUGAAGGAAGAAGGCUUUCGGGUUGUAAACUUCUUUUCGCAGGGACGAAGCAAGUGACGGUACCUGAGGAAUAAGCCACGGCUAACGACGUGCCAGCAGCCGCGGUAAGACGUAGGUGGCAAGCGUUAUCCGGAUUUACUGGGUGGAAGGGGCGUGUAGGCGGGACUGCAAGGCAGAUGUGAAAACCACGGGCUCCACCUGUGGCCUGCAUUUGAAACUGUAGUUCUUGAGUACUGGAGCGGCAGCCGGAAUUCCUAGUGUAGCGGUGAACUGCGUAGUUAUUAGGAG
This 351-nucleotide ribosomal RNA is filed under the name uncultured bacterium. RNAcentral's name for it is "partial 16S ribosomal RNA". It matches the Rfam family "Bacterial small subunit ribosomal RNA", at positions 338 to 703 of the family's 1533-position model. The record is from RNAcentral.